RNAcentral lists this unclassified non-coding RNA (214 nucleotides) under uncultured Sebacina. RNAcentral's name for it is "sequence contains ITS2". The record is from RNAcentral. Lineage: Eukaryota; Fungi; Basidiomycota; Agaricomycetes; Sebacinales; Sebacinaceae.
UAAUCUCACUAUGAUGGACUUUUUGGUCUUUCGUAUGUGGACUUGGACGUUUGCCGUGGAUAUCUACGGCUCGUCUGAAAUGCUUCAGUGUACCCCGCAGAGCGGCGUAUUCGGUGUGAUACAUCUUCACCGGAGUUGAUCCUUUACGGGUCGCGUCUGUAAUGUGUGGCUCUAUGCUUCAAACCGUCUCUUGAAUGGGACAAUCUCUGACAAU